Molecule: ribosomal RNA, 253 nt
Filed under: uncultured bacterium
Lineage: Bacteria
Description: partial 16S ribosomal RNA
Rfam family: Bacterial small subunit ribosomal RNA
Source: RNAcentral
UACGUAGGGACCAAGCGUUGUUCGGAAUUACUGGGCGUAAAGCGCGUGUAGGCGGCUUGGCAAGUCGGGUGUGAAAGCCCUGGGCUCAACCUAGGAAGUGCACUCGAAACUGCUUCGCUUGAGUGUCGGAGAGGAAAGCGGAAUUCUCGGUGUAGAGGUGAAAUUCGUAGAUAUCGGAAGGAACAUCAGUGGCGAAAGCGGCUUCCUGGACCAGUGCCGACGUUCAGGCACGAAAGCGUGGGGAGCAAACAGG